RNAcentral lists this ribosomal RNA (484 nucleotides) under uncultured bacterium. RNAcentral describes it as "partial 16S ribosomal RNA". It matches the Rfam family "Bacterial small subunit ribosomal RNA", at positions 28 to 507 of the family's 1533-position model. The record is from RNAcentral.
AUUGAACGCUGGCGGCAUGCUUUACACAUGCAAGUCGAACGGCAGCGCGGGCUUCGGCCUGGCGGCGAGUGGCGAACGGGUGAGUAAUGCAUCGGAACGUGCCCAGUAGUGGGGGAUUGCCCGGCGAAAGCCGGAUUAAUACCGCAUACGACCUGAGGGUGAAAGCGGGGGACCGAAAGGCCUCGCGCUAUUGGAGCGGCCGAUGUCGGAUUAGCUAGUUGGUGGGGUAAAGGCUUACCAAGGCGACGAUCCAUAGCUGGUCUGAGAGGACGACCAGCCACACUGGGACUGAGACACGGCCCAGACUCCUACGGGAGGCAGCAGUGGGGAAUUUUGGACAAUGGGGGCAACCCUGAUCCAGCCAUGCCGCGUGCGGGAAGAAGGCCUUCGGGUUGUAAACCGCUUUUGUUCGGGAAGAAAUCCUCUGGGCUAAUACCCCGGGGGGAUGACGGUACCGGAAGAAUAAGCACCGGCUAACUACGUG